RNAcentral lists this long non-coding RNA (425 nucleotides) under Solanum tuberosum (potato). RNAcentral describes it as "long non-coding RNA (STUB_LNC002522)". Lineage: Eukaryota; Viridiplantae; Streptophyta; Magnoliopsida; Solanales; Solanaceae. The record is from RNAcentral.
UUACGUAAAAAUAAAAUGAGCAAUAGAGAUAAAAAGAAUAAAAUACAAAAAAUGAAAAUAAUGUGCCUAAUUCCCUAUAUUCAAACAAAUGAAUAUUGAAAAGGAGAAAUAACAUUGAAAAAAAUAAGCCCAAAAAAUAAUAAUAAAGCUCCAGCCCAAAAAUAUUGAGCCCAUCUCAGCCUAGCUAUUUGAUUUUCUAAAUGAAGAAAAGAAAAAGAAGUGUUGCCGUGCGGAAUCGAACCCAAGGCGUCCAGGCAAGUUCUUGAACCCCCUUAACCACUGAGCCAGCCUCUUUACUUAUAUUAAGGGGGUUCAUUUUAAUAUAUAUACACAUGAAAACAGAAUUUGACCUUAUAUAUACGGUGUAAUUUUCCGACGAAGGGGGUUCGGGUGAACCCCCUUGCCACCAUGUAGAUCCGCCCCUG